GUCCCAGUUAGGACAGGGAUUAGGCAGGUUAGGCAGGAGCCAGAGAACCACUGCUGUAUAGGCUGAGGGAGAUGCUGCAGGGGACGUCAGUCCCAGUUAGGACAGGGAUUAGGCAGGUUAGGCAGGAGCCAGAGAACCACUGCUGUAUAGGCUGAGGGAGAUGCUGCAGGGGAUGUCAGUCCCAGUUAGGACAGGGAUUAGGCAGGUUAGGCAGGAGCCAGAGAACCACUGCUGUAUAGGCUGAGGGAGAUGCUGCACGGGACGUCAGUCCCAGUUAGGACAGGGAUUAGGCAGGUUAGGCAGGAGCCAGAGAACCACUGCUCUAUAGGCUGAGGGAGAUGCUGCAGGGGAUGUCAGUUCCAGGGGCACUAGGUGGGGAGACGGUUUCAUUGUCGGCUUAUUUUGUAUUUUUCCUUUAUUUAACUAGGCAAGUCAGUUAAGAACAAAUUCUUAUUUACAAUGACGGCCUAGGAACAGUGGGUUAACUGCCUUGUUCAGGGGCAGAUCGACAGAUUUGUACCUUGUCAGCUCAGGGAUUUGGUUUAGAAACAUUUCGGUUUCUGGCCCAACACUCUAACCACUAGGCUACCUGCUGCUAUUCUGAUGAUGUAACAGUGUUUGUUAGAGGGGAGGAAGAUGUAGACGAGGUUAGCAGGGCUUUAGUGUUGUUUGAGGGUGCGGCAUCAGCUAAGGUGAACUGAGGUUGGCUGUGAACCUAUAUGUUGCAGGGCCUCAGUAUACUGUAGCCAAAUGAAAUGUUAAAAUUAAAUAAUGUUUGUUUUAAUGAUGUACAGUAAAUAUUUGAGCUAAAUAAAGUUGAUGUAUUUUUGAA
Long non-coding RNA from Oncorhynchus tshawytscha (Chinook salmon), 832 nucleotides. NCBI's taxonomy places the organism in Eukaryota, Metazoa, Chordata, Actinopteri, Salmoniformes, Salmonidae. The record is from Ensembl.